GGUAAAAUGGCUGAGGUGUAGGCGGUAGAUUGUAAAUUUACUAACAAGGUUUUCUUUUUUAUC
This 63-nucleotide transfer RNA is filed under the name Cyclorhipidion bodoanum. Its description in RNAcentral is "tRNA-Tyr". The record is from RNAcentral. Lineage: Eukaryota; Metazoa; Arthropoda; Insecta; Coleoptera; Curculionidae.